This is a long non-coding RNA of Homarus americanus (American lobster), 185 nucleotides long. RefSeq lists it as uncharacterized. Lineage: Eukaryota; Metazoa; Arthropoda; Malacostraca; Decapoda; Nephropidae. The record is from RefSeq and is a predicted model, not a curated record. The transcript has 3 exons.
AGCCAGGUGUCCAGUCCGGCCCUCUACUGUGUAACAGCCAGGUGUCCAGUCCGGCCCUCUACUGUGUAACAGCCAGGUGUCCAGUCCGGCCCUCUACUGUGUAACAGCUAGGUGUCCAGGACGGCCUCUACUGUGUAACAGCCAGGUGUCCAGUCCGGCCCUACUGUGUAACAGCCAGGUGUCAG